Molecule: ribosomal RNA, 388 nt
Filed under: uncultured bacterium
Lineage: Bacteria
Description: bacterial SSU rRNA
Rfam family: Bacterial small subunit ribosomal RNA
Source: RNAcentral
AUUGAACGCUGGCGGCGUGCCUAACACAUGCAAGUCGAGCGGUAACAGGUGUAGCAAUACAUGCUGACGAGCGGCGAACGGGUGAGUAAUGCUUCGGAAUCUACCCAAUGGUGGGAAUAACCAGCCGAAAGGUUGGCUAAUACCGCAUACGUCCCACGGGAGAAAGCAGGGGAUCGCAAGACCUUGCGCCAAUGGAUGAGCCGAAGUCGGAUUAGCUAGUUGGAGGGUAACGGCCUACCAAGGCGACGAUCCGUAGCUGGUCUGAGAGGACGACCAGCCACACUGGGACUGAGACACGGCCCAGACUCCUACGGGAGGCAGCAGUGGGGAAUAUUGGACAAUGGGGGAAACCGUCGAUCCAGCGACGCCGCCGUGUGUGAAGAAGGCC